This 45-nucleotide non-coding RNA is filed under the name Trichobilharzia regenti. The record is from RNAcentral. Lineage: Eukaryota; Metazoa; Platyhelminthes; Trematoda; Strigeidida; Schistosomatidae.
AUCCAGUUGACGAGUCCCAAAUAGGACUAAAUACGCAUCCUGGAU